UACGAAGGGGGCUAGCGCUGCUCGGAAUGACUGGGCGUAAAGGGCGCGUAGGCGGCUUGCACCGUCAGAUGUGAAAUUCCUGGGCUUAACCUGGGGGCUGCAUUUGAUACGUGUGGGCUUGAGUGCGGAAGAGGGUCGUGGAAUUCCCAGUGUAGAGGUGAAAUUCGUAGAUAUUGGGAAGAACACCGGUGGCGAAGGCGGCGACCUGGUCCGUGACUGACGCUGAGGCGCGAAAGCGUGGGGAGCAAACAGG
This 253-nucleotide ribosomal RNA is filed under the name uncultured bacterium. RNAcentral's name for it is "partial 16S ribosomal RNA". It matches the Rfam family "Bacterial small subunit ribosomal RNA", at positions 524 to 776 of the family's 1533-position model. The record is from RNAcentral.